ACAAUUGUGCCUAUAAUCCUCUCUUCUAGGAUUCUUACCCUUUCCUUAAAAAGAUUAUAGGCAUAAAAAA
Molecule: non-coding RNA, 70 nt
Filed under: unclassified sequences
Description: potC RNA
Rfam family: potC RNA
Source: RNAcentral